Molecule: ribosomal RNA, 440 nt
Filed under: uncultured bacterium
Lineage: Bacteria
Description: partial 16S ribosomal RNA
Rfam family: Bacterial small subunit ribosomal RNA
Source: RNAcentral
CCUACGGGAGGCAGCAGUGGGGAAUAUUGCACAAUGGGGGAAACCCUGAUGCAGCGACGCCGCGUGAGUGAAGAAGUAAUUCGUUAUGUAAAACUCUAUCAGCAGGGCAGAAAAUGACGGUACCUGAGUAAGAAGCCCCGGCUAACUACGUGCCAGCAGCCGCGGUAAUACGUAGGGGGCAAGCGGUAUCCGGAUUUACUGGGUGGUACGGGAGCGUUAACGGCAGUGCAAGUCUGGAGUGAAAGGCGGGGGCUCAACCCCCGGACUGCGCUGGAAACUGUACGGCUGGAGUGCAGGAGAGUUAUGUGGAAUUCCUAGUGUAGCGGUGAAAUGCGUAGAUAGUAGGAGGAACACCAGUGGCGAAGGCGGCUUACUGGACUGUAACUGACGUUGAGGCUCGAAAGCGUGGGGAGCAAACAGGAGUAGAUACCAGGGUAGUC